Molecule: unclassified non-coding RNA, 337 nt
Filed under: soil metagenome
Description: partial contains 5.8S ribosomal RNA, internal transcribed spacer 2, and large subunit ribosomal RNA
Rfam family: 5.8S ribosomal RNA (bases 1-120)
Source: RNAcentral
GAUGAAGAACGUAGCGAAAUGCGAUAAGUAGUGUGAAUUGCAGAAUUCAGUGAAUCAUCGAAUCUUUGAACGCACAUUGCGCCCCUUGGUAUUCCAUGGGGCAUGCCUGUUCGAGCGUCAUUUGUACCUUCAAGCUCUGCUUGGUGUUGGGUGUUUGUCUCGCCUCUGCGUGUAGACUCGCCUUAAAACAAUUGGCAGCCGGCGUAUUGAUUUCGGAGCGCAGUACAUCUCGCGCUUUGCACUCAUAACGACGACGUCCAAAAGUACAUUUUUACACUCUUGACCUCAGAUCAGGUAGGGAUACCCGCUGAACUUAAGCAUAUCAAUAAGCGGAGGA